This is a long non-coding RNA of Callithrix jacchus (white-tufted-ear marmoset), 2116 nucleotides long. The record is from Ensembl. NCBI's taxonomy places the organism in Eukaryota, Metazoa, Chordata, Mammalia, Primates, Cebidae.
UGACCUUUUGCCGUCUCAUCAGCAUUUGCGUUCCAUCAGAUGAUUGACACAAGUUUCAUUUCCUUCUAAAAGAUCUCCAGUCACAUGAGAGCCUUGGUACCAGAUGUAGACAGGGAGGCUCAAAUUAGAUCUCAGAGCCAGGGUUGACAGCCAUCAUCGUGCAUGAGGAUUAUUUUAGGAGGAGACACAAGCCAAAUAUUUAUCAGCUAAUAAUGGCUGGGGCCGGUCAGUCUCCUCCCAGCCUCAGGAGGAGAGAAAUCUGUGCUGUCACUUUCAAAAUGCAACACUGAUGGCUGCACCUCUGGGCUCUGACUCCAUGGCAGACGAAAGCCAGAGCCUCCCAGCUAGUGACCAAGCAGCCGCCACAGAGGAGAAGUGCUGGCAACCUGAGGCCCUGAUGAACAGGGUCUGUGGGACUGUGCAAGAAUCAGAGGCAAAAUACCUAGCAUCCCACAUUCAUGGGGGAGAAGAGUGGGAGAGGGGAGCACAGAAAGAGAAAUGAUCUAGGAAAAAUUAGCUCAGCAAGGAUGGAAUACGGACGACUGCAGUGUCUCACAACAUCACUCACAGAUGGACUGGACAUAGAACAUUCUUUGCAGGCUGGGGCACUGACCCCGACGCUAAACCUCAAACAUGCCCACAGCCACCUAAAGUUCUCACUUGCUGUUCAGCCUGCGGACACAUUCUUCCACAGACAUAUGAGGGGUUUGCUCCCUCCCUUCCUUUAGAGUCAGUCUCUCCACUCUGCAGGAAGGGCCUUGGCGGGCACAGAGAGAGCUGCGAGGGCCAGGCAGCACCGUUGCAAAACCAAGAGGAUCAAAAGAUUCAGCGAAACCUACAGGACAACUUUGCGGGGGGGACAAAUAGACCACACUGCAGUGCCCGUGUCAGACUGAUGAAGUCCACCUUCGUCAGUUGUUCAUUGUCUGGCCUUAACAAGCUGUCCGACUCUUCUGAGCCUUAAUUUGCUAAGUUGCAAACUGGGGCGUAAUUUUGCCUACCUCAAAAGUGUAUUGUGAUGCUUAAGUGAUAGCAUCAGGCAUCGGUUCUAGAACUCAGAUGGUGCUGGGGACAUGAUAACGUCCUUUCUUACUUCUUAUGACCAAUAGAAGCGAGGAGAUGGAAACCGACAGAAGCUUGGAUUCUUAUUUUCCAACUUGUUCAUUGCAUCCAAUUCUUAUCCUGUAGUCCGGUGGCUGGCUCAUAAUAUGGGUUCUGUCUAUGUCUAUGGAACCAAAUUGGUAGAAAGAGUGUCUUAUCUGUAUAGCCAUCUCCUGCCAUCAUCCCAACAAUCAAAAAGUACCAAGGGGGAGAAAACUUCAGUUGGCCUCUACUUUACAGCCUGCAACAAAAAUGAAUCAGGCUGGGCAGGGUGGCUCAUCCUGUAAUCUCAGCACUUGGGGAGGCUGAGGCAGGUGGAUCACCUGAGGUCAGGAAUUCGAGACCAGCCUGGCCAAGAUGGCAAAACCCAGUGUCUACUAAAAACACAAAACUUAGCUGGGUAUAGUGGUGGGUGCCUGUAAUCCCAGCUACUCAGAAGGCUGAGGCAGGAAAACCACUUGAACUCAGGAGGCAGAGGUUGUGGUGAGCCGAAAUCAUGCCACUGCACUCCGGCCUAGGUGACAAGAGGGAAACACCAUCUCAAAAAAAUAAAAGAGAAGAAAAAGAAGAAUCAACAGGCCUACUAAGGCCGCCAGUCUAUCCCAUUUAUAGCAUGGCAUAGUAGAAAGAGCAGUAAGCUGGGAUCAAGGCCAAGGUUCUCUGUAGCUAUGACCCUCGGACACAUAAAGCCUCAGUGUUCUCAUCUGUGAAAAAGGAGUAAUGGUCUCUGCCUCCCUUGAGAGUUGUGUAUGGAAGCAGGGCCAGGUAGAAGACAGGAAAAGCAGCAGGUGGGUGAGGCACUAAAACAACUGAUGAGACUGGGUUUGUUCUCAGGGUCCCACAAGGGGCUUCUGUGUGCUGUCCUCCACUCGCUGGCUCCAACUCCUGCAGACCCUUGGGCAGCUGUUUUCCCAAACCCUGAAGCUUUGGCAAAGGGCUCUGAAGCCUGCCAGGAGAGAAGCAGGGAGCCGGCAGCAGGAGAGCUGCACCUUUCUAAUGAGCCGCUAAACAGAGU